AACGAACGCUGGCGGCAUGCCUAACACAUGCAAGUCGAACGAGACCUUCGGGUCUAGUGGCGCACGGGUGCGUAACGCGUGGGAACCUGCCCUUAGGUUCGGAAUAACUCCCCGAAAGGGGUGCUAAUACCGGAUAAUGUCUUCGGACCAAAGAUUUAUCGCCUUUGGAUGGGCCCGCGUUGGAUUAGCUAGUUGGUAGGGUAAAAGCCUACCAAGGCGACGAUCCAUAGCUGGUCUGAGAGGAUGAUCAGCCACACUGGGACUGAGACACGGCCCAGACCCCUCCGGGGGGCAGCAGGGGGGAAUAUUGAACAAUGGGCGAAAGCCUGAUCCAGCAAGGCCGGGGGGGUGAUGAAGGCCUUGGGGUUGUAAAGCUCUUUUACCCGGGAUGAUAAUAACAUUACCGGGAAAAAAAGCCCCGGCUAACUCCGG
This 432-nucleotide ribosomal RNA is filed under the name uncultured bacterium. Its description in RNAcentral is "partial 16S ribosomal RNA". It matches the Rfam family "Bacterial small subunit ribosomal RNA", at positions 29 to 506 of the family's 1533-position model. The record is from RNAcentral.